This 72-nucleotide transfer RNA is filed under the name Felis catus (domestic cat). It matches the Rfam family "tRNA". From Rfam's summary of the family: Transfer RNA (tRNA) molecules are approximately 80 nucleotides in length. Their secondary structure includes four short double-helical elements and three loops (D, anti-codon, and T loops). The record is from Rfam by way of RNAcentral. Lineage: Eukaryota; Metazoa; Chordata; Mammalia; Carnivora; Felidae.
ACCUGGCUGGUUCAGUUGGUAGAGCAUGUGAUUCUUGAUCUCAUGUUGAGAGUUCGAGCCCCAUGUUGGGUG